ACUUAAAUAGUUUAAAUCAAAAUUUUGAUUUGUGGUAUCAAAGAUAUGUUGUGGCAUUUUAGGUU
This 65-nucleotide transfer RNA is filed under the name Phryganogryllacris superangulata. RNAcentral's name for it is "tRNA-His". Lineage: Eukaryota; Metazoa; Arthropoda; Insecta; Orthoptera; Gryllacrididae. The record is from RNAcentral.